GCGCUUGCUUUAACAGCACAUAAACGAAAAACUGGAACAAUACAGAGACUAUCAGCAUGGUCCCUGCACAAGAAUAGCAUACAAUUAUGAAGCAGCCCAUAUUUUU
Molecule: small nuclear RNA, 106 nt
Organism: Meriones unguiculatus (Mongolian gerbil)
Lineage: Eukaryota; Metazoa; Chordata; Mammalia; Rodentia; Muridae
Source: Ensembl